RNAcentral lists this long non-coding RNA (4846 nucleotides) under Homo sapiens (human). RNAcentral describes it as "non-protein coding lnc-ZADH2-1:2". Lineage: Eukaryota; Metazoa; Chordata; Mammalia; Primates; Hominidae. The record is from RNAcentral.
GGCUCAGCAGCGUUCCUCGUCGGACCAGAGAGUCGGUGAAAACCUUUGGCAGAAGGUGGCGAUCUGCAAUGACCUGCGGGAAAGUCUUGGAGGAGAGCGGGAGCCAGGAAUUGGAAGGAUUACGUCACGGCUGGAACAUGUUGGUUCCACAAUGACAAAGGAAAUGGCAGGAUCCAGUGUAAUUUUUAGUGUAAUGGGGCCAAUAUUGUUCUUUGGGAGGAAAUAGAUUUUUUGAAUUUCUCAUUAUAAGUCAACAGGAAAAUAAGACAUUACGUACAAAAAAUGCACUCGCUUGCAACUUUCCGAGGAUAUAUUUGCUAUGUAAUGUGAGGUUCCUUAUUUUUAAGCUGAUAAUUUAAGUAACGUUAUUGUAAUUUACUUCUUAACUUUUAAAUGUUGUCUUUAUUUAGAAAUAACUGUACUUUUAGAAAAGGCAACAUAAAUCAAUACCAUGAAAUGAAUCACUUUGGCCUGUACCAGAGACAACUUUGCAUCUACAACGACGUCACAGAGUCUGGGGUUCUGAGCGCUGAUCCUAAGAGCUGGACUUCAGGGGCGGCGAUGGCGCUCUGCUGAACUGAACGAACCACGGCUCCUCACCCAUACGCGAGAAGCGGCAUCCCGGCCUUCGCGGCGCUCAGCCUGCGUGGGGCGGCAGCUGGCAUGAUCAGGACUAUUCAGGGGGAGCAAGAAACCGAGUGCCAGGCACAUCAGGCCAAGUCCUCAGCCCCACCUUACUUGUUCCCUGCAAACCAGAUCACAGUGACCCUACAGCACGUAUCAGUUUCCAAAGGCUGCCUUCACAAAUGACGGAAAACAUGGCUGGAAGCGGCGGAAAUGUAUUCUCACAGUCCUAGAGACUAGAAAUCCAAAACCCAGGUGUCGGCAGGGCCCCGCCCCUCCGAAGGCUCUGUGGGAAGAUCCUUCCUGGCUUCUCCGGCGCUUCGGCUCCGUGAAUUCUGGCCGUCCUUGGCCUGCAGCUGCAUCUUCCGAUCUCUGCCUCUGGCUUUGUGUGGCUGUCUUCCCCGUGACUGUGUCCAGAUUCUUAUAUAAGGACACCAGUCAUUGGCUUAAGGCGUACCCUAGUGGUCACCUUCACAGGUCUCAGGGGUUAGGACUUCAACUUCUAUUGCAGGACGACACAGUCCUACCCACUGCAGAGUAUUGCAUGCUGGACAUUUGGCCAAGCUGUUUCUUUGAAUUGUUUCACUUCAUCCUUGUAAAAAUCCUAGGAUGUAGAAACUCCAUUUUACAGAUAAGGAAACCGAGACUCGGAAAGUCAAAGCCAACCGCCCAGGGCCACACGGCUCUGAUACGGCAGAGGAGAACUCAAAUCCACUUCUCUCUUACCCUGGAAUCUUAACCCCUGGACUAGAUGCUACAUUCAAAAAUUGCAAGUCAUUACAGCCUAGUUAGAAUCUGUUUUCUGGGUCAAAUAACUGGUCAGAUCUGGAAUCAGAACUUUGAAGGGGUGUCAGCAAAAGCUCCAAGCUGGUGAGGGGGGAUCUUUGCCUGAGAAGGGAAUAAAGAACCAACUUAAACUUCAUCAACAGUUCCUGAUUAAUUGUUACAAAGUGUCAUCCAUAAAUUUCCCUUCGAUCUAAUAAUCCUCUCAGACGAUUUAACAAUAUCCCCAGCGAGUUGGCUUUAUUGAGGGCUGAGUUCCUGAGAAGGAAGGCAGCGACACAAAUAGCUCAAGUGCAUGGAGACAGUCGCUGGCCAGUCUUCCCAGCGCUGACAGCUCUGAAAUACAAUUAUCAGUGUGAUCUGCUUAAGAAUUCAUCAUCAGCUCCUGCCUUCUGAAGACUUAAAAAAAUACCGAGACAUACAAAGAGAAAGAGGUGAUAAGAAGGCAUCAUUUUCCUCCAGCCUCAUAACUGUAAAUUGAAGAAAAUUAUUUUCUUUGCCUCCAGCUCAUUGGCAUAUAGGCAGCAUUAUAUUAUAAUUUCAUAAGCAUAAAUCCUUUGAAUAAAUUUCAGAAGAAUAACUGAAUUAGAAAUGCAAGUAAAGUAUCUAAAAAACUUCACUGUCCUAGGCAGAGGAGGAGAUGUGAGAAGCAGAGGGAAAGAGAGAAUUCCUCUCUGGCGACCUUCCCUGGGUUACCAGGGACCUGGGACAAGGUCUGGCUCAGGGAAAGACAGUUCUUAACCCUACUCUGAGCCCAGUGGCAAAUAAAAUAGCCCCCUCUCCUCUUCCCACUGGUAUGUUCCGAGGAAUUCGAGUCGUAAUUCAUCAUAAAUUAAUUUUGGAGAAACAACAGGCUUGGGGCACGUUAUAAUUAUUGUUAUUUGUUUAUUUAUUAUCACGUUAACCGUUAUUUAUUAUUAUGUUACGCAUAUGUGAGACCACAAAGGCUGCUCCCCGCAGUUUCCUGGCAACACGGCCGUGAGUUCUUCACACGCAAGUUACCAAGUGCGCGGCUCCGAGAAGGGCGGGUGGGAGGAGCUGGACGCGGUUUGGGGUCCCCGGCUUCUGCGCUUUCCUGAGGGGACCCAGUGGGACGGCCGGUCCGGAUGAAGAGUCUGUCUGGCACUGCGGCGACGGUUCAUGAUCUGCACAGCAGAUCGUCUGCAAACAAAGACCAUUUAGAGGCAAAGCUCUGGCCCCGAGAAAGACGCCAGGGGCUGGCUCAAGUUCAAGGAGGAAGAGGGCCCUUCUUGGUGUUCUGGGCAGCCGGCCACAGACACCUUCCAUCCCACCAGGCCACUCAGGGAGGAGGAGGUGAGGACUGGGAGGGGCAGGGGAGCCUCCGGGAGCCGCCUCGCCCCCACCCUGGGCUCUGGUGGUCUUCCUCCCCUCCCCAAGGCAGCUAACUGGGGGGGCCACCGGUAUGCGGGGAGCAGCCCUUGUGGUCUCACAUAUGUGACAUAAUAAUAAAUAAUGGCUAACGUGACAAUAAACAAAUUACAACAACAACAACAUUCUAAUGCCCACUGGACAAUGGAAUCCCCUGGGAAUGUUUUUGUUGUUGUUUUUCUUCCUAAAUUUUUAAUUUUAAAAUAAUGAACUUGUAGAAAAAUUGUAAAGAUAGCACAGAGUUCCUACAUAGCCCACACCCCAUCUCCUCUUUUCCCAUUAUUAGAUCGUGUUCCUCUGUGCAUCCGCCCCAGUUCACAGAGCAGUACUGACUCACAGGAGUGCUUCACUGAAGCCCACGCUUUAUUCGGGGUUCUCUAGUCUUUACCUAAAAUCCGUCUCUACCCCGGACCCCAGCCGGGACACCCCAUGGCCCUCAAUCCUCAGUUCUCCUUAGACUCCUCUUGGUGGUGAUGGAUUCUCAGACUUUCCUGUGUUGAAUGACCUUGACCUUGGCUGUUCUGAGGAGGACCGGCAGGAACACUGAAGAAUUGGAGUUUGAUGUUUUUCUCAUAGUGGGUUGAGUGGAGACUGCACCUGUGAUGGAGGUCGAGCGCUUUCAUCCCAUCCCAUCAAGGGUGCAUCGGGUCAACGUAACCGAGCAUGGUUAAACGUGAUGACCUGGCUGAAGCAGUGUCUGCCAGGUUUCUCCACUGUAAAACUGCCUUACCCCUUUCCAUACCUUUUGGAAGAAGUCAUUAUGAGCAGCCCACGUGGCCAAAGUGGGGAGCUGUGCUUCCCCUCUUCAAGGGCAGGGGAUCUACAUAAGUUAUUUGGAAGUCUGCACAGAAAACUUGUCACUCUCCCUCCAAUUAUUUAUUUCCUCAGUCAUUUCUAUCAGAAUAGGCUGGCUCUAUACUUUGAGUUAUUUUCCAAUGCUAUCUUACUUUGUUGCUCAAAUUGCUCUAGCUUUAGCCACUGGGGGUUCUUUCCAUUGCCUCCUAUGUCCCUUUAAAAUGUCCCCAUUAUGGCGGCAUCCUGGGUGUUUUGGUUUGGCUUGGUUUGGACACUUCCUUGCUUUCUGCUCCAGGCUCAUCUUGUUUACUCCCCUCCCAGUCCCAGAAUUAAGCAUUUCUUCACAGAACCCGGGAUCCUUGUAUGGAAGACUGGGAUUAGCAACCACUAUCUGGUGCUGGGUUUCAAGACUCUCCUACAUUGACGCUUGCUUCCAGUAUAAAAUAAAGGUAUUAUAACAUAUAACACAGUCUGAAUUUAAAAUAAAUCUAGUAUUAAAAAUAAUGCUACAAUGAAUGAACCAUCAGGCACCAUUUCUUAGGCACUAGAGAGAUGGUUACUGAGGGGAAACUGCUAGAGAUCCAUCAGAUCUGCCCUGCCUUCUUCCCAAUCACAAAUCUGGACUGCGGUGCCUGCUUUCCACAGCUGGGAGUGGUCGGUGACUACGCACUCCUCAGUGGAACGGGAGAGGAAGCCCGAUGCACCGCCACACCUAGCUCUUAACCUAUGGAUGUGUCUCAUCCACACCCUCUCCCUGCUUUCUUGAUGAAAACUUCUGGCCAUGCAGAGAUAGACAUUGCCAUAGGGAAAGACAGAAAAAGGAUCUCACAACUUGGACAGAGCCUGCUUCUUGAAUGACUUCGUUGGAGCAGAGCCACUUGUGGGGCUGGAAUAUUCCUGUGGAUUUUUACCUGAGAGGGAUAAACCUCUACAGUCCUCAGAACACACACGGGUCCAUUUGUUACCCUAGCUUGCAGAGGGCACCCCAGAUCUUACAGGGUACCCAGGUCUCACAGCGUACCCCAGCUCAUACAGGAUACCAGGCCCAUGCAGCAUACCCUAGCUCAUACAGGAUACCCCAGUUCAUAAAGGAUACCCCAGCUCAUACAGGAUACCCCAGUUCAUACAAAAUAGCUCAGCUCAUAACCGAUAUCCAGCUCAUGCAGGAUACCCCAGCUCAUACAGGAUACCCCAGUUCAUAAAGGAUACCCAGCUCAUACAGGAUACCCCAGCUCAUACAGGAUACCCCAGUUCA